This 501-nucleotide unclassified non-coding RNA is filed under the name Hevea brasiliensis (rubber tree). Lineage: Eukaryota; Viridiplantae; Streptophyta; Magnoliopsida; Malpighiales; Euphorbiaceae. The record is from RNAcentral.
UCGGCUAUCUGUGGCUGAGGUUUUAUAUGGUUCUGGUGCAGAUAUUUCAUCACCUGAUAAUUCAGCAUCCAUUGUCUUCAAACCAGCAGCAGAAGAUUGUGAAACCCCAAUCUGCAGAUGGUAUUAUAGGGGAAUCCUCUCUGCCUGGUGCAGGAACCAGUGAACCAGCAACAUCAGAAGGCUUUGUUCGAGGAAAGUCUUAUAACAUCAGGAUGGAUGAUCAAGUUCUACUGAGAUUUUCCCCAAAGAAUUCUGACUCCACUUAUUACUUCAGUGACAUGAUUGGUGGAACUCUUACUUUUUUUCAUGGACAAGGAUCAAGGAGAUGCCUUGAGGUCUCAAUAACACUGGAAACUUCAGAGACCAUAAAUAGGCGUUUUGUUCAUCCUUCUCGCAGGAAUUCCCCAACAACCAUAAAGGUUCAGAGUGNNNNNAUCAUCAUGAGGUUGUUGCAGAUUUGGUGCAGACCAGCUUUCUUUUUUCUGUACCCACGGAUGGGCC